UAAGGAAUAUUGGACAAUGCCCGCGAGGGUGAUCCAGCCAUGCCGCGUGCAGGAUGAAGGCCUUCGGGUUGUAAACUGCUUUUGUACGGAGCGAAAAGGUCUGCCCUAAUACGGUGGGCUCAUGACGGUACCGUAAGAAUAAGCACCGGCUAACUACGUGCCAGCAGCCGCGGUAAUACGUAGGGUGCGAGCGGUAAUCGGAAUUACUGGGCGUAAAGCGUGCGCAGGCGGUUAUAUAAGACAGAUGUGAAAUCCCCGGGCUCAACCUGGGACCUGCAUUUGUGACUGUAUAGCUAGAGUACGGUAGAGGGAGAUGGAAUUCCGCGUGUAGCAGUGAAAUGCGUAGAUAUGCGGAGGAACACCGAUGGCGGAGGCAAUCCCCUGGACCUGUACUGACGGUCAUGCACGAAAGCGUGGGGAGCAAAC
This 426-nucleotide ribosomal RNA is filed under the name uncultured bacterium. RNAcentral's name for it is "bacterial SSU rRNA". It matches the Rfam family "Bacterial small subunit ribosomal RNA", at positions 355 to 773 of the family's 1533-position model. The record is from RNAcentral.